Tympanuchus pallidicinctus (lesser prairie-chicken) is the source of this 1321-nucleotide long non-coding RNA. RefSeq lists it as uncharacterized. The transcript has 3 exons. Lineage: Eukaryota; Metazoa; Chordata; Aves; Galliformes; Phasianidae. The record is from RefSeq and is a predicted model, not a curated record.
CCUCCCAACCUCCUGUUUUGCUGCAGGACCCCACGGAUCACAGCCCUGAAAUCAGCCUUGCACAUACAAACAGUGAACACAUGGAGAGGAAGGAGUGGAGACGCCAGAGCUGCAGGGGAGAGGCUGCCUGGGAAGUCAAAUGAGGGCAGAAGGCAUCAGCCUUUCCAGGAAAGAACCUGUCCUUGCACAUUUCCUCGUGUCUGGGCUUCAAUAUCGUGAUUAGGAGCACAUGAGAAAAAGAAAACACCCCCCAUUUUGCUAGCCCCAGCAGGGUGAACAGAAGGAAAAGGUGCUCCAGGGCAGGAAGAAACUGUGAAGAAAUAGGUUUGCAAACUCCAUUUAUAUUGGAUUGUUUAAAAAUUGUCCUGAGAGCUGCCUUCUGGGGACAGCUGUCCUACUCUGAAGGAGGAAGAGCAGAGAUGUGUGUGGGGAGAAGCUGUGUGUGGGACUCUUGGGGCUGGGAUGGGACUCAGGUUGCAAUUGCCUCUGGUUGCUCUCAGGCCUGGGGAAGGCAGGGAGAGGCUGGGCACAUGGAAGAAAGGCUCCAAAAAGCCCUUCAUCCUGUAGGAGCGACAUCUCCCUCUGCAACAGGAGAGGUCUCAGUUGGGCCAUAAGCUGCUCUGACAAGUAGAGAGAUGAGAAAGGCAGCUGAAUCAUAGAAUCGUUUGAGAUAGAAGGGCCCUUUAAAAGGCAUCUGGUCCAACCCCUCCGCAACAAUCAGGGACACCUACAGCUUCAUCAAGAGCUCACAGCCCGUCCAUCCUGACCUUAGGUGUCCCCAGGGACCUAUCAUCUCCAGGUCCCUUCCCUGCCAGCCGUCUGAAGUCAUGGCAGUGCUGCAAAUGCCUCAGUGCUCAGGCAGGACAUGCAGAAAAAGCUGAGCUGCCCUGGAGAUGCACAAGGGCUGGUGAUACCCAACCUGCAGCCACAGCAGUGGAUAAAAGGAGGCUCAGCAUUGCAUUGCAUUAAUGUGCUGCAUCCCAAGAAAUGUUUCUUCAGGGUGGAAGAGUACUGGUAAGGGUCUCUACUAACGCAUCCGUAGCUAGUAUCUGGUCUGGACUGCUCAACAGCAGAAAUGAAUGCAUCCAUCUUGCCUUGGCUGCACAUGGCAUGCACAGGGGGACUGUUCCUUAUUAGCACUCACAGCCAUUGGCAAGAGCUGCUGGAACAGAGGUUGAGCUCCAACUGCUAUUCCUGCCUCUCCUCCUUCACUUGUGCUUGUGUCUUUCUCAAACUCAUUCCUUUUGGAAUUUUCCAUGCUUUAUCCAAGCCCAGUGACAAGUUUUUGCUCUGAAGGUAUGGACUGUGCUGGUUGGAAUCC